UGGGGAAUAUUGCACAAUGGGCGCAAGCCUGAUGCAGCGACGCCGCGUGGGGGAUGAAGGCCUUCGGGUUGUAAACCCCUUUCAGCAGGGAAGAAGCGAGAGUGACGGUACCUGCAGAAGAAGCGCCGGCUAACUACGUGCCAGCAGCCGCGGUAAUACGUAGGGCGCAAGCGUUGUCCGGAAUUAUUGGGCGUAAAGAGCUCGUAGGCGGUUUGUCGCGUCUGGUGUGAAAACUUAAGGCUCAACCUUGAGCUUGCACAGGGUACGGGCAGACUAGAGUGCGGUAGGGGUGACUGGAAUUCCUGGUGUAGCGGUGGAAUGCGCAGAUAUCAGGAGGAACACCGAUGGCGAAGGCAGGUCACUGGGCCGCAACUGACGCUGAGGAGCGAAAGCAUGGGGAGCGAACA
This 407-nucleotide ribosomal RNA is filed under the name uncultured prokaryote. RNAcentral's name for it is "bacterial SSU rRNA". It matches the Rfam family "Bacterial small subunit ribosomal RNA", at positions 355 to 774 of the family's 1533-position model. The record is from RNAcentral.